RNAcentral lists this ribosomal RNA (465 nucleotides) under uncultured bacterium. RNAcentral's name for it is "partial 16S ribosomal RNA". It matches the Rfam family "Bacterial small subunit ribosomal RNA", at positions 28 to 507 of the family's 1533-position model. The record is from RNAcentral.
GACGAACGCUGGCGGCGUGCUUAACACAUGCAAGUCGUACGGUAAGGCCCUUUCGGGGGUACACGAGUGGCGAACGGGUGAGUAACACGUGAGUAACCUGCCCACAACUUUGGGAUAACGCUAGGAAACUGGUGCUAAUACUGGAUAUGUGCUCCUGCUGCCUGGUGGGGGUUGGAGAGCUCCGGCGGUUGUGGAUGGACUCGCGGCCUAUCAGCUUGUUGGUGGGGUAGUGGCCUACCAAGGCGGCGACGGGUAGCCGGCCUGAGAGGGUGACCGGCCACAGUGAGACUGAGAUACGGCCCAGACUCCUACGGGAGGCAGCAGUGGGGAAUAUUGCAAAAGGGGCGCGAGCCUGAUGCAGCACCGCCGCGGGCGGGAGGACGGCCUUCGGGUUGUAAUCCGCAUUCAGCAGGGACGAAGCUUUUUGUGACGGUACCUGCAGAAGAAGCACCGGCUAACUACGUG